GUAGUGACGUCAGCGAGGCGCGUGGAAGAGCGCGUGGGCGUGGCUUAGCCUGGGGCCCCUCCCUCCCUUUCUGUGCUCUCUCUGGGCCAAUCUGUCUAGUCAUGGCUGGGAGGAAAGGAGCCUCCUCCUUAAAGGGGCCGCGCCCAAUUUAUCCAAAGGGAAGAGGAAGCACGUGAAGCUGCAUCAUGCAAAGAUGGGGGGGCUGUUCUGCUGCAGCCAAACAGCAAAGGCUGAGCGUUCCCCAGAUGAGAUGGCAGGCAGCCUUGCAAGAGGAGGAGGCUGCAUCCACACUGGAGGAAUUUUAAUCCAGUUUGACCCCGCUUUAACUGCUCAUGGCUCAGUCCUGGGGAAUUCUGGGAAUGAAGUCGACAGGUGACUUGAAAGUGACAUACGCACACAUGCAGGAUAUCUUUGAGGGAUUCCCAUAUGUGCCGCAACAUGCAUCCAUGCGCUUUGCAUGGAUGAGAAGUGGUGCAAGGAUGAAGGGGGCUUAUCCUGGACAACCUUGACCAUCGGGACGUUCUUCCUAAUGUUGAGGUUAUUAGAGUCACAGGAAAAUAAUAAGAAGAGGAAAAAGGUAAUAGAUGAAGACGGAAUCCCAGUCAUCAACGGGAAAGGAAGUGUGAUUAAG
Molecule: long non-coding RNA, 631 nt
Organism: Sceloporus undulatus (fence lizard)
Lineage: Eukaryota; Metazoa; Chordata; Lepidosauria; Squamata; Phrynosomatidae
Exons: 3
Source: RefSeq, a predicted model, not a curated record